RNAcentral lists this transfer RNA (72 nucleotides) under Zyginella minuta. RNAcentral describes it as "tRNA-Lys". Lineage: Eukaryota; Metazoa; Arthropoda; Insecta; Hemiptera; Cicadellidae. The record is from RNAcentral.
CAUUAAGAGUCUUAAAGGCAAGAAUUGGUCUCUUAAACCAAAUAAUAGUAUAUUAGCAAAUACUCUUAAUGA